UACGUAGGGUGCAAGCGUUAUUCGGAAUUACUGGGCGUAAAGCGUGCGCAGGCGGCCAUGCAAGUCAGAUGUGAAAUCCCCGGGCUCAACCUGGGAACUGCAUUUGUGACUGCAUGGCUGGAGUGCGGCAGAGGGGGAUGGAAUUCCGCGUGUAGCAGUGAAAUGCGUAGAUAUGCGGAGGAACACCGAUGGCGAAGGCAAUCCCCUGGGCCUGCACUGACGCUCAUGCACGAAAGCGUGGGGAGCAAACAGG
RNAcentral lists this ribosomal RNA (253 nucleotides) under uncultured bacterium. RNAcentral's name for it is "partial 16S ribosomal RNA". It matches the Rfam family "Bacterial small subunit ribosomal RNA", at positions 524 to 776 of the family's 1533-position model. The record is from RNAcentral.